This 481-nucleotide ribosomal RNA is filed under the name uncultured bacterium. Its description in RNAcentral is "bacterial SSU rRNA". It matches the Rfam family "Bacterial small subunit ribosomal RNA", at positions 77 to 552 of the family's 1533-position model. The record is from RNAcentral.
AGCUUGCUUCUGGCUGGCGAGUGGCGGACGGGUGAGUAACGCGUAGGAAUUUGCCUUAAGGCGGGGGAUAACUCGAGGAAACUCGAGCUAAUACCGCGUACGCUCUACGGAGUAAAGAAUGGGGUCUUCGGACCAUUCACCUUAAGAGAAGCCUGCGUCGGAUUAGCUUGUUGGUGAGGUAAAGGCUCACCAAGGCGACGAUCUGUAGCUGGUCUGAGAGGACGAACAGCCACACUGGGACUGAGACACGGCCCAGACUCCUACGGGAGGCAGCAGUGGGGAAUAUUGGACAAUGGGGGCAACCCUGAUCCAGCAAUACCGCGUGUGCGAAGAAGGCCUUCGGGUUGUAAAGCACUUUCAGUUGGGAGGAAAGUUCCUGUUCUAAUAGGACAGGAAAUUGACGUUACCAAAAGAAGAAGCACCGGCUAACUCCGUGCCAGCAGCCGCGGUAAUACGGAGGGUGCGAGCGUUAAUCGGAAUU